AUUUUGGAGAGUUUGAUUCUGGCUCAGAACAAACGCUGGCGGCGUGCCUAAUACAUGCAAGUCGAACGGGGAAAGCCGCAAGGUGAGUACUAGUGGCGCACGGGUGAGUAACGCGUGGGUGAUCUGCCUCAAAGUGGGGGAUAACCAGUCGAAAGAUUGGCUAAUACCGCAUAAGACUACGAUUCAUUUUGUAGUAAAAGAAUUUCGCUUUGAGAUGAGCCUGCGUGAGAUUAGCUAGUUGGUAAGGUAAUGGCUUACCAAGGCUUUGAUCUCUAGCUGGUCUGAGAGGAUGAUCAGCCACACUGGAACUGAGACACGGUCCAGACUCCUACGGGAGGCAGCAGUAGGGAAUAUUGCGCAAUGGGGGAAACCCUGACGCAGCGACGCCGCGUGAGCGAUGAAGGCCUUCGGGUCGUAAAGCUCUGUCGUAUGGGAAUAAUAAUGAAUGUACCAUAUAAGAAAGGAUCGGCUAACUUCGUGCCAGCAGCCGCGGUAAGACGAGGGAUCCUAGCGUUGUUCGGAAUCAUUGGGCGUAAAGCGGGUGUAGGUUGCUUUUUAAGUCAAAUGUGAAAUCCUAGGGCUCAACCCUAGAAGUGCAUCUGAUACUAUCAAGCUUGAGUGUGGAAGAGGCUAUUAGAAUUCCUGGUGUAGUGGUGAAAUACGUAGAUAUCAGGAGGAAUACCAGUUGCGAAGGCGGAUAGCUGGUCCAACACUGACACUAAGACCCGAAAGCGUGGGGAUCAAACAGGAUUAGAUACCCUGGUAGUCCACGCCGUAAACGAUGGAUACUUGUUGUUGGAGGUAUUGACCCCUUCAGUGACGAAGCUAACGCGUUAAGUAUCCCGCCUGGGAAGUACGGUCGCAAGAUUAAAACUCAAAGAAAUUGACGGGGGCCCGCACAAGCGGUGGAGCAUGUGGUUUAAUUCGAUGCAACGCGAAAAACCUUACCUGGGUUUGAAAUAGAUAAGAAAAGUAUCAGAAAUGGUCUUCUCGCAAGAGCUUGUCUACAGGUGCUGCAUGGCUGUCGUCAGCUCGUGUCGUGAGAUGUUGGGUUAAGUCCCGCAACGAGCGCAACCCUUGCCUUUAGUUGCCAGCAUUCAGUUGGGCACUCUAGAGGGACUGCCGACGUUAAGUCGGAGGAAGGUGGGGAUGACGUCAAGUCCUCAUGGCCCUUAUAUCCAGGGCUACACACGUGCUACAAUGGCAGUCACAAAGGGCAAUAGCAAAACUGCGAAGUGAAGCUAAUCCCAGAAAAGCUGUCUAAGUUCGGAUUGCAGUCUGCAACUCGACUGCAUGAAGCUGGAAUCGCUAGUAAUCGUGGAUCAGCAUGCCACGGUGAAUACGUUCCCGGGCCUUGUACACACCGCCCGUCACACCAUGAAAGUUGGUUGUACCAGAAGUCAUUGCGCUAACAUUGAAGCAAAUGCCCAAGGUAUGGUCGAUGAUUGGGGUGAAGUCGUAACAAGGUAGCCGUAGGGGAACCUGCGGCUGGAUCACCUCCUUU
This 1504-nucleotide ribosomal RNA is filed under the name Deltaproteobacteria bacterium. RNAcentral's name for it is "bacterial SSU rRNA". It matches the Rfam family "Bacterial small subunit ribosomal RNA". Lineage: Bacteria; Pseudomonadati; Myxococcota; Myxococcia. The record is from RNAcentral.